Long non-coding RNA from Daphnia pulicaria, 1193 nucleotides. RefSeq lists it as uncharacterized. The transcript has 3 exons. The record is from RefSeq and is a predicted model, not a curated record. NCBI's taxonomy places the organism in Eukaryota, Metazoa, Arthropoda, Branchiopoda, Diplostraca, Daphniidae.
UCAUGAUGAUGACACUUCGCAGAAUUCCGGCUGAAGUGAGCGUGAUUGGCAAGAGACUCAGGCUUUUCUUCUUCGAAUCUUUCCCUCUUUCCAGUGACCGUGAGACUGUUUCGAUGUCACUUAAGAAAGUAAAGAAAAUUUGCAGAAGGAGAUGACACUUUUCCGGUUUGAAGCGGCGGCUGCUUCUUAACCAAUAAUCAACUUUUGUGGCCCUGAGGAUGAUGAUGAAGAAGACGUUGACAAACCACACGAUAAUAAUUUGGCCAAAAUGAAACAACAGCUACUUCUAAAGAUGAAAUGCGGGGGUUGGCAACUGAAAAUUUGGGUGUACGAGGAUUCAGAAUCUCAAGGAUUCCGAAAGAUUCUAGAGAUUCUGAGAGAUUCUGAGAGAUUCUGCGAGAUUCUGCGAGAUUCUGAAUCAAGUUUCCCCCAAAAUUCCGCUAGGGGCGCCACUAGUCCUUGCCCCAGUUUCUCUACAGAAGUAUGCACUAUGUUACGUAGUGGGCGUAGCUCCGUUUCGGCAUGCUCUAUACAGCUUAUAGACAUGCAGAUCUUAUUAUCUUCAAGAUUUUUUACUGAUAGAAAAAGGUGCUACAAUAGGUUUUGUAGUUUCAAGUAGGGUGAAGUAAUCUGAUAGUUAGAAACUUGAUAGGUUUGAAUUAAAAGUCCAGAUUAUUAAUUUUAAAAUAGAAUAUAACGGGAAAAUUAACUGCAAGUGACUUUUGCUGGGAAUUAUUGGCAUAUUAUCAAUAAAGUUUUUUUUAACCAUAUAUUUGUCCCACCCUAUCCUCCAUUCAUCAGCAGACGAAAAAAUGUGUGCGCCUCCCAGCGGUGGGAAAAAGGAGGGAAAAUUAAAGAAGUUUUAGCGCAACCCAUAUUUUACAUUUUUCAGUAUUUCUAGUGCAUUUUUUUACAAUUUGAGCUUUUCAAAAACAAAAUUCACAAAAUAUCUGAAAUUUUAGACGGUUUUGGGGUAGUUUAAAGUAAAAAAAAGGGUAAACUUAGUGAGAUUCUGGAGAUUCUACGAGAUUCCAUGGGAUUCUACGGGAUUCUAUGGGAUUCUACGGGAUUCUGUGAGAUUCUGAAGAUUCUGCGAGAUUCUGAAGAUUCUAUGAGAUUCUGGGGAUUCUGGAGGGAUUCUAGCCAGGGUGUACGAGGAUUCUGAGGAGUUGCCAACCCCCGAUGAAAUGGUU